UGAAUCACUCGGCGGCAAUCGAUACUUUCUAACUUUCAUUGAUGAUGCUUCUCGAAAGGUUUGGGUGUAUUUCUUACGGACGAAGGACCAGGUGUUUGAUUACUUCAAACUGUUCCAUGUCAUGGUAGAACGUGAGAUAGGAAAGAAGUUGAAGUGUCUUCGAUCCGACAAUGGAGGUGAAUACUUUUCCAGGCAAUUCAAUGCCUAUUGCAGAUCAUAUGGCAUUUGUGUCUUCGAUCCGACAAUGGAGGUGAAUACUCUUCCAGGCAGUUCAAUACCUAUUGCAGAUCAUAUGGCAUUCGACAUGAGAAGACGGUCCCACACACCCCUCAACACAACGGUGUAGCUGAAAGAAUGAACCGAACAAUCAUGGAACGUGUUCGG
RNAcentral lists this long non-coding RNA (384 nucleotides) under Nicotiana benthamiana. RNAcentral's name for it is "long non-coding RNA (NBEN_LNC013805)". The record is from RNAcentral. Lineage: Eukaryota; Viridiplantae; Streptophyta; Magnoliopsida; Solanales; Solanaceae.